UACGUAGGGUGCAAGCGUUAAUCGGAAUUACUGGGCGUAAAGCGUGCGCAGGCGGCUUUGCAAGACAGAUGUGAAAUCCCCGGGCUCAACCUGGGAACUGCAUUUGUGACUGCAAGGCUAGAGUACGGUAGAGGGGGAUGGAAUUCCGCGUGUAGCAGUGAAAUGCGUAGAUAUGCGGAGGAACACCGAUGGCGAAGGCAAUCCCCCGGACCUGUACUGACGCUCAUGCACGAAAGCGUGGGGAGCAAACAGG
Molecule: ribosomal RNA, 253 nt
Filed under: uncultured bacterium
Lineage: Bacteria
Description: partial 16S ribosomal RNA
Rfam family: Bacterial small subunit ribosomal RNA
Source: RNAcentral